This 433-nucleotide ribosomal RNA is filed under the name uncultured bacterium. RNAcentral's name for it is "partial 16S ribosomal RNA". It matches the Rfam family "Bacterial small subunit ribosomal RNA", at positions 29 to 507 of the family's 1533-position model. The record is from RNAcentral.
AACGAACGCUGGCGGCAUGCCUAACAUAUGCAAGUCGAACGAGACCUUCGGGUCUAGUGGCGCACGGGUGCGUAACGCGUGGGAACCUGCCCUUAGGUUCGGAAUAACUCCCCGAAAGGGGUGCUAAUACCGGAUAAUGUCUUCGGACCAAAGAUUUAUCGCCUUUGGAUGGGCCCGCGUUGUAUUAGCUAGUUGGUAGGGUAAAAGCCUACCAAGGCGACGAUCCAUAGCUGGUCUGAGAGGAUGCUCAGCCACACUGGGACUGAGACACGGCCCAGAAUCCUACGGGAGGCAGCAGUGGGGAAUAUUGGACAAUGGGCGAAAGCCUGAUCCAGCAAUGCCGCGUGAGUGAUGAAGGCCUUAGGGUUGUAAAGCUCUUUUACCCGGGAUGAUAAUGACAGUACCGGGAGAAUAAGCUCCGGCUAACUCCGUG